GGAGGGGUGGCCGAGUGGCUGAAGGCGACGGUUUGCUAAAUCGUUGUAGGUGUUAAAGCCUACCGUGGGUUCGAAUCCCAUCCCCUCCGCCA
RNAcentral lists this transfer RNA (92 nucleotides) under Acetobacteraceae bacterium. Its description in RNAcentral is "tRNA-Ser". It matches the Rfam family "tRNA". Rfam says of the family: Transfer RNA (tRNA) molecules are approximately 80 nucleotides in length. Their secondary structure includes four short double-helical elements and three loops (D, anti-codon, and T loops). Further hydrogen bonds mediate the characteristic L-shaped molecular structure. tRNAs have two regions of fundamental functional importance: the anti-codon, which is responsible for specific mRNA codon recognition, and the 3' end, to which the tRNAs corresponding amino acid is attached (by aminoacyl-tRNA synthetases). tRNAs cope with the degeneracy of the genetic code in two manners: having more than one tRNA (with a specific anti-codon) for a particular amino acid; and 'wobble' base-pairing, i.e. permitting non-standard base-pairing at the 3rd anti-codon position. Lineage: Bacteria; Pseudomonadati; Pseudomonadota; Alphaproteobacteria; Acetobacterales; Acetobacteraceae. The record is from RNAcentral.